UACGUAGGGGGCAAGCGUUGUCCGGAUUUAUUGGGCGUAAAGAGCGUGUAGGCGGCCAGGUAGGUCGGUUGUGAAAACUAGAGGCUUAACCUCUAGACGUCGACCGAAACCACUUGGCUAGAGUCCGGAAGAGGAGAGUGGAGUUCCUGGUGUAGCGGUGAAAUGCGCAGAUAUCAGGAAGAACACCCGUGGCGAGGGCGGCUCUCUGGGACGGUACUGACGCUGAGACGCGAAAGCGUGGGGAGCGAACAGG
RNAcentral lists this ribosomal RNA (253 nucleotides) under uncultured bacterium. RNAcentral's name for it is "partial 16S ribosomal RNA". It matches the Rfam family "Bacterial small subunit ribosomal RNA", at positions 524 to 776 of the family's 1533-position model. The record is from RNAcentral.